RNAcentral lists this ribosomal RNA (509 nucleotides) under uncultured bacterium. Its description in RNAcentral is "bacterial SSU rRNA". It matches the Rfam family "Bacterial small subunit ribosomal RNA", at positions 23 to 518 of the family's 1533-position model. The record is from RNAcentral.
CUUAGGAUGAACGCUAGCGGCAGGCUUAACACAUGCAAGUCGAGGGGCAGCGGGAUGUAGCAAUACAUUGCCGGCGACCGGCGGAUGGGUGCGUAACGCGUAUGCAACCUACCUUAUACAGGGGAAUAACCUUUCGAAAGGGAGACUAACACCCCAUAGUAUUGAUUUAAGGCAUCUUAGAUUAAUUAAAUAUUUAUAGGUAUAAGAUGGGCAUGCGUAUGAUUAGCUAGUUGGUAAGGUAACGGCUUACCAAGGCGACGAUCAUUAGGGGUUCUGAGAGGAACGGUCCCCCACACUGGUACUGAGACACGGACCAGACUCCUACGGGAGGCAGCAGUGAGGAAUAUUGGUCAAUGGGCGCAAGCCUGAACCAGCCAUGCCGCGUGCAGGAAGGAACCGGCCUUAGUGGGUUAGUAAACUGUCUUUUACAUAAGACUAACCGUAUAUUUGCGAAUAUACCUGAAUGUAUUAUGAGAAUAAGGAUCGGCUAACUCCGUGCCAGCAGCAGC